Molecule: small RNA, 27 nt
Filed under: Arabidopsis thaliana (thale cress)
Lineage: Eukaryota; Viridiplantae; Streptophyta; Magnoliopsida; Brassicales; Brassicaceae
Description: ATSL074380
Source: RNAcentral
GUUCAUUAAGUAGAAAUCGGUCGCCAA